CUAAAUACUGAGAUGGGAAGUAGUAGGAGUCCAAGGUCUUAUAGAGAGGGGUUGUUGGUGGAAAUACCCUGGAUACAGGCUGUGAAGCAGUCCCGGAGUAUCUCUUUGGAAAUAGUAGUACAUAGAGACGUGAUGCUGCGUUAAUGCUAAUGAAGAUGUCACAUUUUGUGAUAAUCAGGGUGGUACCGCGAAUACAAGCUCGCCCCUGUA
This 210-nucleotide non-coding RNA is filed under the name Peptostreptococcus stomatis. RNAcentral's name for it is "T-box sequence". It matches the Rfam family "T-box leader". From Rfam's summary of the family: Uncharged tRNA acts as the effector for transcription antitermination of genes in the T-box leader family. T-boxes are found upstream of many aminoacyl-tRNA synthetase genes and some amino acid biosynthetic genes usually in Gram-positive bacteria. Lineage: Bacteria; Bacillati; Bacillota; Clostridia; Peptostreptococcales; Peptostreptococcaceae. The record is from RNAcentral.